Molecule: ribosomal RNA, 519 nt
Filed under: uncultured eukaryote
Lineage: Eukaryota
Description: SSU rRNA
Rfam family: Eukaryotic small subunit ribosomal RNA
Source: RNAcentral
AGGGCACCACCAGGAGUGGAGCCUGCGGCUUAAUUUGACUCAACACGGGGAAACUUACCCGGCCUGGACACUGGAAGGAUUGACAGAUUGAGAGCUCUUUCUUGAUUCAGUGGGUGGUGGUGCAUGGCCGUUCUUAGUUGGUGGAGCGAUUUGUCUGGUUAAUUCCGAUAACGAACGAGACUCUAGCCUAUUAAAUAGGCUCUCGGCUUUUAAACGCCGGGAGGACUUCUUAGAGGGACAGGUGGCGGUUCAGCCGCACGACAGAGAGCAAUAACAGGUCUGUGAUGCCCUUUGUUGUCCGGGGCCGCACGCGCGCUACACUGAAGAGAUCAGCGUGCUUUACGUUCCUGCUCCGACCGGAGUGGGGAACCCAGUGAACCUUCUUCGUGAUUGGGAUAGAAGAUUGUAAUUAUUCUUCUUGAACGAGGAAUUCCCAGUAAAUGCGAGUCAUAAGCUCGCGUUGAUUACGUCCCUGCCCUUUGUACACACCGCCCGUCGCUACUACCGAUUGAACGAUUU